AAGCCCAAGGUUUCCUACGCAACGUUCAUCGGCGUAGGGUGAGUCGGCCCCUAAGGCGAGGCAGAGAUGCGUAGCUGAUGGGAAGCAGGUUAAUAUUCCUGCACCGUCGUAUGAUGCGAUGGGGGGACGGAUCGCGGAAGGUUGUCCGGGUGUUGGAUGUCCCGGUCCCUGCAUUGGAGAUGGCACUUAGGCAAAUCCGGGUGCGUGAUUCAAGGGUGUGGGGCGAGCGACUUUAGGUCGCGAAGCAAUUGGAAGUGGUUCCAAGAAAAGCCUCUAAGCUUCAGUCAUACGAGACCGUACCGCAAACCGACACAGGUGGGCGAGAUGAGUAUUCUAAGGCGCUUGAGAGAACUCGGGAGAAGGAACUCGGCAAAUUGGUACCGUAACUUCGGGAUAAGGUACGCCCUUGUAGUUUGACUGGCUCGCGCCAGAAGGAUGAAGGGGUUGCAAUAAAAUGGUGGCUGCGACUGUUUAAUAAAAACACAGCACUCUGCAAACACGAAAGUGGACGUAUAGGGUGUGACGCCUGCCCGGUGCCGGAAGAUUAAAUGAUGGGGUGCAAGCUCUUGAUUGAAGUCCCGGUAAACGGCGGCCGUAACUAUAACGGUCCUAAGGUAGCGAAAUUCCUUGUCGGGUAAGUUCCGACCUGCACGAAUGGCGUAACGAUGGCCACACUGUCUCCUCCCGAGACUCAGCGAAGUUGAAGUGUUUGUGAUGAUGCAAUCUCCCCGCGGCUAGACGGAAAGACCCCAUGAACCUUUACUGUAGCUUUGCAUUGGACUUUGAACCGAUCUGUGUAGGAUAGGUGGGAGGCUUUGAAACCGGGACGCUAGUUUCGGUGGAGCCGUCCUUGAAAUACCACCCUGGUUUGUUUGAGGUUCUAACCUUGGCCCGUGAAUCCGGGUCGGGGACAGUGCAUGGUAGGCAGUUUGACUGGGGCGGUCUCCUCCCAAAGUGUAACGGAGGAGUUCGAAGGUACGCUUGGUACGGUCGGACAUCGUACCUAAAGUGCAAUGGCAAAAGCGUGCUUAACUGCGAGACCGACAAGUCGAGCAGGUGCGAAAGCAGGACAUAGUGAUCCGGUGGUUCUGUAUGGAAGGGCCAUCGCUCAACGGAUAAAAGGUACUCUGGGGAUAACAGGCUGAUACCGCCCAAGAGUUCAUAUCGACGGCGGUGUUUGGCACCUCGAUGUCGGCUCAUCUCAUCCUGGGGCUGUAGCCGGUCCCAAGGGUAUGGCUGUUCGCCAUUUAAAGAGGUACGUGAGCUGGGUUUAAAACGUCGUGAGACAGUUUGGUCCCUAUCUGCCGUGGGCGUUGGAAUCUUGACGGGGGCUGCUCCUAGUACGAGAGGACCGGAGUGGACGUACCGCUGGUGUACCUGUUGUCUCGCCAGAGGCAUCGCAGGGUAGCUAUGUACGGAAGAGAUAACCGCUGAAAGCAUCUAAGCGGGAAACUUGCCUGAAGAUGAGGAUUCCCUGGAGACUUGAUCUCCCUGAAGGGUCGUUCGAGACCAGGACGUUGAUAGGCUGGGUGUGGAAGCGCAGUAAUGCGUU
RNAcentral lists this ribosomal RNA (1552 nucleotides) under microbial mat metagenome. RNAcentral's name for it is "bacterial LSU rRNA". It matches the Rfam family "Bacterial large subunit ribosomal RNA", at positions 1341 to 2887 of the family's 2925-position model. The record is from RNAcentral.